UGAGCAUGUAUUUAAUGAACC
This 21-nucleotide non-coding RNA is filed under the name Caenorhabditis elegans. The record is from RNAcentral. Lineage: Eukaryota; Metazoa; Nematoda; Chromadorea; Rhabditida; Rhabditidae.